This 6045-nucleotide long non-coding RNA is filed under the name Sorghum bicolor (sorghum). RNAcentral describes it as "long non-coding RNA (SBIC_LNC009198)". Lineage: Eukaryota; Viridiplantae; Streptophyta; Magnoliopsida; Poales; Poaceae. The record is from RNAcentral.
GGAGGCCUGGAGAACACGUGGCUUGUUGAUUCCGGUUGUUCGCGCCACAUGACCGGAAGUUCAAAAUGGUUCUCCAGCCUCGACCCCGUGCAAUGUAAGGAAUACAUCACAUUCGGGGACAAUAGCAAAGGUAAGGUGCUUUCUCGUGGGACCAUUCGAGUCAAUGAGAGUUUUGUCUUGGAGGAUGUUGUUUUGGUUUCAAAUUUGCAUUUCAAUUUGCUUUCGGUUUCGCAACUCCUUCAGGAUGGUUUUGAGGUGCGUUUUAAGACCGGCUUGUCUCGAGUUCUUGAUUCUCAGGGAAAUCUUGUUUGCCAGAUUGUCCCUUUUGGUCGUGUCUUUCGAGCUGAUUUUUCUCACUCUUUUGGCUCUUCUCGUUGUCUUGUGGCUGGAUCCUCUUCUGAUCUUUGGAAGUGGCAUAGGAGACUUGGUCAUUUGAGCUUUGACUUACUAGCUAGGUUGAGCUCACUUGACUUAAUCCGAGGAUUGCCCAAAUUGAAAUUUGAGAAGGAUUUGGUUUGUCACCCUUGUCGUCAUGGGAAGAUGGUUGCCGCUUCUCACCCUCCUGUGACUCAGGUCAUGACCAAGGGACCUGGUGAGCUACUUCAUAUGGACACAGUUGGUCCGGCUCGGGUUCGGUCAGAGGGAGGGAAGUGGUAUGUUCUAGUGAUUGUGGAUGACUUUUCUCGCUACUCUUGGGUGUUUUUCAUGGAGGGUAAGGAUGAGGCUUUUUCUCAUGUUCGAGAUUUGAUUCUUCGGUUACAGACUGAGUUGCCUAAGAAUGUCAUGAGAGCUAUGCGCAUUGACAAUGGCACAGAAUUCAAAAAUACUCAGUUUGAUACCUUCUGUGCUUCUUUGGGUCUCGAGCACCAGUUUUCCUCUCCUUAUGUCCCCCAGCAAAAUGGUGUUGUUGAGCGCAAAAAUCGGACUCUUGUUGAGAUGGCCAGGACAAUGCUCGAUGAGCAUAGGACUCCUAGGAGAUAUUGGGCCGAGGCGAUCAACACCGCAUGUCAUGUCUCAAAUCGCGUUUUUCUUCGACCCUUCUUGAAAAAGACUUCUUAUGAGUUGCGAUUUGGUAGACUACCCAAGGUAAGUCACUUCAGGGUGUUUGGUUGCUAGUGUUUCAUCCUGAAGCAAGGUAAUUUGGACAAAUUUGAGUCCAGGUCCUCCGACGGUAUUUUUCUUGGUUAUGCUUCUCAUUAUCACAUAUCGUGUACUUAACCUUGAAACUAACCGAGUCGUGGAGACCUGUGAGGUCACAUUCGAUGAGACUAUGCCUUGUUCUUCUCCUGUCUUUGAAUGUGCAGGUGAUCAGGAGAUUGGUGAGAGCAUCUUUGUUGAGGAUGAUGCAGAAGAUGCCGAUUGGGGUGAUCCUGAGCCGACACCACUGGCUGCCCCUCUCACGUCUUCGACGACUACUUCGGCUGACGGCCCCGAUCCUUCUUCUUCCACUACUUGGGGUCCGGUCGAGCAGCCUGCUCAGCCUACAUCGGCUGUCCCUGAGGAGGCCCCAGCUGCAGUUGAGGGGGAGGCGACUUCUUCAAGGGAAGCACCUCGACACAUUCAGCGUCGCCAUCCACCUCAGACCAUGAUUGGUGGAAUUGACUAGCGAGUCACGCGGUCCAGGUCAUAUCACAUCUCACACUUCGCUCAUUCUGCUUUUGUUGCUUCUUUUGAGCCUUGAGAUGUUGGACACGCACUAUCUAAUUCCAAUUGGGUUAAUGCUAUGCAUGAGGAGCUAGAAAAUUUUGAGAGAAACAAGGUUUGGGUUUUAGUACCACUUCCACCAGAUUGCCAUCCCAUAGGUACCAAGUGGGUUUUCAAAAACAAAUAGAGUGAAGAUGGGGUGGUAGUGAGGAACAAGGCUAGGUUGGUAGCUUAGGGUUUUUGUCAAAAAGAGGGGAUAGACUAUGAGGAAACCUUUGCCCCUGUUGCCCGUCUAGAAGCCAUUAGGAUCCUUUUAGCUUUUGCAGCUUCAAAAGGGUUCAAGCUGUAUCAGAUGGAUGUGAAGAGUUCUUUCUUGAAUGGGUAUAUAGAGGAAGAGGUUUAUGUGAGACAACCCCCUGGUUUUGAAAAUCCUAAGUUUCCUAACCAUGUUUUUAAACUCCACAAAGCCUUGUAUGGUCUAAAACAAGCCCCGAGAGCCUGGUAUGAGCGUUUGAAAGCCUUCUUGCUUGCAAAGGAUUUUAAAAUGGGUUCUAUUGAUAAAACUUUGUUUCUCCUCAAGCAAGGCACUAACACUCUUUUGGUUCAGAUAUACGUGGAUGAUAUCAUUUUCGGUGGCUCUUCUCAUGCACUUGUUGGCAAGUUUGCAGAAACUAUGAGCAGAGAAUUUCAGAUGAGCAUGAUGGGCGAGUUAACGUUCUUUCUUGGUUUGCAAAUCAAGCAAACUAGAGAAGGGACGUUUGUGCACCAAGGCAAGUACACCAAGGACGUACUCAAGAAAUUCGAUAUGGGCGAGGCCAAGCCUCUCUCGACGCCCAUGUCGACCACGACGGCCCUAGAUGCAGAUGAAGAAGGAGAAGUUGUGGACCAGAAGGAGUACCGAAGCAUGAUCGGGUCGCUACUGUACCUGACGGCGACAAGACCGGACAUCCAAUUCGCGGUCUGCUUGUGUGCGCGCUUUCAGUAUUCACCGCGCACAUCUCAUCGUCAAGCCGUCAAGCGGAUCUUGAGGUACCUUCGUUUCACACCAGAGCUUGGUCUUUGGUUUUUAGCUUCCUCCUCUCUUUCUCUUUGCGGCUAUUCUGAUGCGGAUUAUGCCGACUGUCGUGUUGAGCGCAAGUCCACGUCGGGGACUUGCCAGUUUCUUGGGACUUCUCUUGUGUCUUGGUCCUCUCGCAAGCAAUCCUCUAUUGCUCAAUCCACCACAGAAGCCGAGUAUGUUGCUGCUGCUGCUUGCUGCUCCCAGUUGCUUUGGAUGAUAGCCACUUUGAGAGACUUUGGGUUAGAGUUUAGGCGAGUGCCUUUGCUUUGUGGUAGCACCAGUGCCAUAAGCGUUGCUAAAAACCCAGUCCUCCACUAAAAAACCAAGCAUAUAGAUGUCCGCUUUCACUUCCUGCGUGACCACUAUGAGAAAGGAGAUAUUGACCUACACCAUGUUGAUACCCAAAACCAGCUUGUAGACAUCUUUACCAAACCCCUUGACCAAGCCCAGUUUGCUCGCUUGCGAGGGGAGCUUGGAGUUUGUUUCCCUUUUUAGUUGAGGGGAACUUUGGUUUUUGUACUCUAGUUUUGUUUUCUUUUAGUUUAGCUUUUAUUUUAUUUUAUUUUUGUACCAUAUUGCAUUGCAUUUCAUCUCAUCAUGUAUAUUAGAGCAUUUUGAGCUUCAUGAUUAUAGUUGUUAGAUUGAGAUUAUGCUCUUUGUGAUAUGUCUUGUAUGUACAUGAUGGUGCUUGUCGCUUAGGCUCUUUUUGAUCACUUGAUGCAUGUUAUGAGUUAAGCUGUUUUACAACUUGUGAACUUGACAUAAACCUGUUGAAAUCUGAAAAUUGUUCACCAUUGUCUUUGGCAACUAGCAUGUGUAGGAUGUGUUGAGAUCACUUGAGCUAUCAUUUAUAUGCUAGGUUGCUAUGUCUCUUGCUUUGAGUUAUACACUUGCUUGGACAACUUGUAAAUUCUUGUGCUAAAAAUUGAAAAUCAAGCUAAGUGAAAAGAAAAGAUCGAGAUGGGUCUGUACUGUCCUACGUCAAGGUAUCGAGACUGCUUCCAAUUGCACUUAUGGAUGAACUUGAGCCUUGUAGUGGAUGCCGAGAUCAUUGUCUUAAGCUUGCGAUUGUCUCUGACAUAGGCUUGACAUGGUCGAUAAGUUGGUUUGAUGGUACAGAUAACCUCUCGCACUCACACAUGUUUUUGACUAAACCUUGUGAUAUGCUGCAAACUCCGAUAAAAUGAAAAUUUGAUGAAAACACAAGUCUAAAGUUAGUCUUUGACAUGAUGUAUGAACGCUGCUUGGGGUAGUUCACCUUGUAUACACUUGAUUAGCACUAGGUUGAUUUCCUGCUUAUACCUGCUAUGUGCUACUUUCAGUGGUGAACUCCUUCUUACAGUUGCUUAAAAUUGAUCAAAAAUGCUUAAAUGCCAUAUUUCGUUUCACUUGAUUAGUUUGAGCAUUUGCUAGCACUUGUACUUAUUGCUAUACACACAUGACAGCACCACCUAGAGCAUCUUUUCAAUUUGAUUGCUAUACUCCUGAAGCUUUUAUAUAUGUGCAUUUUUUGCAUUCAUAGCAUGUUUUGAGGGGGAGUUGCACUCCUUGGAAAAUCUUGAUAAGUGCAUGUGUCAACAAGGGGGAGAAAGUUACAUACAAAAAGAGAGACAUGCAUUCAUUUGAGAGAGAUUGCAUUUGCUUAGGGGGAGUUGCAUUUGAGUUGCUUUUGCUAGAUGUGUUGAGCCUUUGCCUCUUCUGGAGGGUCUAGUUGUUUUCUGGCUUUUCAAGUUUUGCUAGCGGUGUUGAGCCCAUUGUCUCUUCUUGAGAGCUAGCUUUGUGGUUCUUGAUCGUGUCGAGCCUUUGCCCAUGUCUUUGGGGAUCAAGUUUUGUUCAUUUGAAAUGACCCGUUUCUGGCUUCUCUUUGGCUUUUGGUCGUUUCGGUGAACUCUUUGCUUUUUCCUUCUUUUUCUUUUCUUUUGCUCAAGCUGUUCGUGUGAGGAUGUUGACAAUGCACUCAUCAAGGGGGAGAUUGCGAACACAAGGUCGAGAAGUACCCUUGUGGUACGUUUUAUGAUGAGUGAUUGUCAACGUGAUCCACGAAUAGGUUGAGUUGGUGACUAACAUUACCAUGGCGAAAGCUAUGUGUGUGACAUGUCUCUUGGCUUGUGGUGUUCAGCUGUGGAGCUCGGAGGCGGUGGUCGACGGCGAGGUGAAGGUCAAGUAGAGACGUGCCAUGCCAAUGGACAGGGAGCGGUGAAAGGCGGACGUGAGGCUUGGACCGACGGACCAGGAGGCCGGAUGACCAGCUGCGGUGGCUGACAUCUGGGACAUCGACAAGUGCAAGCGUACAUGGGAGUGACCGUGUUGACCAAGUCAAGACGGCGGACACGAGUUGAGCGAGGCUCUGGAGGACUUAGCGGGCCGGUCGGUCGAGGACGGCGGUGACACGUGUCGAGUGGCGGGGAAGCGUAUAGAGUACGCUACUCGCGGCGGGUUUCGCGGGUUUGGACCUCAAAACCCGGGCGGAGGUUCCAAGGCGGAACGGACGACACGUGGCGGCAUCGGUGAGAUCGCUUCGAAGCGAGGCUACCGGUGAGGAGGCGUGGUGGCCGUCGGAUUUAGGUCAUAUCGAGUUGGACUAGAAUGCCCCUGGGGCUAGCUAGUUCGCUCAAAAAUAUCUAGAGAUAUUUGGGGAAUAUGUAAUAUGCCUGAUAAAUAAACCGGGAGAGUUCCCCAUCUCCCCAUCUCUCCCCCACCUCUCUUUCCACCCCUCUUCCUCCUGUUUACCCGUAGGUGCUCUCUCCUUAGCUGGUUCUUGUGUAGAGGUCCAAAAACCAGAAAUUUGUGAUUGUUUUCUUCUGUGUUUUUGUGUGGGAAAGGAGGCCCGAAUCCACCACGUGUCCUCCGGGAUUCAUCACUUUUAUUUGUGAUUUUUGUUCAGUGUUCUUGUUUUUCCCCAUUUUUCGUUCUUGGCUAUAAUCUAAAUUUCCCAGAGUUUGGGUUAAUCCUAGGCGAUGAUUCUUUGGGGAUGAGUUUGUGUUAGGGUGUAUUUCAUCUGUGCCAAGUCUGAGAAUGAUUCGUUUUGUUUUGGUGAAGAUCCAAUCGUUUUCGUUCUGGGAGAUGUGCUGUUCAUAGCGCUUAGUCGUGCUCUGUUCUUGGGUUUAGGCUUCUGUUCGUGCGGUCAAGACCUACGAGUGGAUUUGGUUCGUCCGCUCGGUUCCGACUGGUGUGGCUCGUAGGGCGUGAGCAGAUCGACACCGUGUGCUGUUCCUCAGCUGCGACCCCAAGAACGAGCAGUUCAGUGUCCCCUUCUGCUGCCGCUCGAGCAGUCAAGAGCAAGAGCAGUAUUUUGCGUCAUUGGAUCUUAGCUUCCUGCAGUUGUCUAAAUCAUGCAUUAG